AAAUUGAAGAGUUUGAUCAUGGCUCAGAUUGAACGCUGGCGGCAGGCCUAACACAUGCAAGUCGAACGGUAACAGGAAGCAGCUUGCUGCUUUGCUGACGAGUGGCGGACGGGUGAGUAAUGUCUGGGAAACUGCCUGAUGGAGGGGGAUAACUACUGGAAACGGUGGCUAAUACCGCAUAACGUCGCAAGACCAAAGAGGGGGACCUUCGGGCCUCUUGCCAUCAGAUGUGCCCAGAUGGGAUUAGCUUGUUGGUGAGGUAACGGCUCACCAAGGCGACGAUCCCUAGCUGGUCUGAGAGGAUGACCAGCCACACUGGAACUGAGACACGGUCCAGACUCCUACGGGAGGCAGCAGUGGGGAAUAUUGCACAAUGGGCGCAAGCC
RNAcentral lists this ribosomal RNA (386 nucleotides) under Salmonella enterica. RNAcentral describes it as "bacterial SSU rRNA". It matches the Rfam family "Bacterial small subunit ribosomal RNA", at positions 1 to 383 of the family's 1533-position model. Lineage: Bacteria; Pseudomonadati; Pseudomonadota; Gammaproteobacteria; Enterobacterales; Enterobacteriaceae. The record is from RNAcentral. RNAcentral also lists the same sequence under 1 other name.